CAAGGAAUUGACGGGGAGCACCACAACGGGUGGAGCUUGCGGUUUAAUUGGAUUCAACGCCGGAAAUCUUACCGGGACCGACAGCAAUAUGAAGGCCAGGCUGAAGACUUUGCCGGAUUAGCUGAGAGGUGGUGCAUGGCCGUCGUCAGUUCGUACUGUGAAGCAUCCUGUUAAGUCAGGCAACGAGCGAGACCCACGCCCACAGUUGCCAGCGUACUCUCUGGAGUGACGGGUACACUGUGGGACCGCCGCUGCUAAAGCGGAGGAAGGAAUGGGCAACGGUAGGUCAGUAUGCCCCGAAUAUCCCGGGCUACACGCGAGCUACAAUGGUUGGUACAAUGGGUAUCUACCCCGAAAGGGGACGGGAAUCUCCUAAAACCAAUCUUAGUUCGGAUUGAGGGCUGCAACUCGCCCUCAUGAAGCUGGAAUCCGUAGUAAUCGCGUUUCAACAGAACGCGGUGAAUACGUCCCUGCUCCUU
This 479-nucleotide ribosomal RNA is filed under the name uncultured Methanosaeta sp. Its description in RNAcentral is "bacterial SSU rRNA". It matches the Rfam family "Archaeal small subunit ribosomal RNA", at positions 859 to 1338 of the family's 1478-position model. The record is from RNAcentral. Lineage: Archaea; Methanobacteriati; Methanobacteriota; Methanomicrobia; Methanotrichales; Methanotrichaceae.